This 474-nucleotide ribosomal RNA is filed under the name uncultured bacterium. RNAcentral describes it as "bacterial SSU rRNA". It matches the Rfam family "Bacterial small subunit ribosomal RNA", at positions 328 to 793 of the family's 1533-position model. The record is from RNAcentral.
CGCUAUCACUCCUACGGGGAGGCAGCAGUGGGGAAUAUUGGACAAUGGGGGGAACCCUGAUCCAGCCAUGCCGCGUGUGUGAAGAAGGCCUUAUGGUUGUAAAGCACUUUAAGCGAGGAGGAGGCUACUGAGACUAAUACUCUUGGAUAGUGGACGUUACUCGCAGAAUAAGCACCGGCUAACUCUGUGCCAGCAGCCGCGGUAAUACAGAGGGUGCGAGCGUUAAUCGGAUUUACUGGGCGUAAAGCGUGCGUAGGCGGCUUUUAAGUCGGAUGUGAAAUCCCCGAGCUUAACUUGGGAAUUGCAUUCGAUACUGGGAAGCUAGAGUAUGGGAGAGGAUGGUAGAAUUCCAGGUGUAGCGGUGAAAUGCGUAGAGAUCUGGAGGAAUACCGAUGGCGAAGGCAGCCAUCUGGCCUAAUACUGACGCUGAGGUACGAAAGCAUGGGGAGCAAACAGGAUUAGAUACCCUGGUAG